This 465-nucleotide ribosomal RNA is filed under the name Vreelandella stevensii. RNAcentral describes it as "partial 16S ribosomal RNA". It matches the Rfam family "Bacterial small subunit ribosomal RNA", at positions 338 to 795 of the family's 1533-position model. Lineage: Bacteria; Pseudomonadati; Pseudomonadota; Gammaproteobacteria; Oceanospirillales; Halomonadaceae. The record is from RNAcentral.
CCUACGGGGGGCUGCAGUGGGGAAUAUUGGACAAUGGGGGGAACCCUGAUCCAGCCAUGCCGCGUGUGUGAAGAAGGCCCUCGGGUUGUAAAGCACUUUCAGUGAGGAAGAACGCCUGGUGGUUAAUACCCAUCAGGAAAGACAUCACUCACAGAAGAAGCACCGGCUAACUCCGUGCCAGCAGCCGCGGUAAUACGGAGGGUGCGAGCGUUAAUCGGAAUUACUGGGCGUAAAGCGCGCGUAGGUGGCUUGAUAAGCCGGUUGUGAAAGCCCCGGGCUCAACCUGGGAACGGCAUCCGGAACUGUCAAGCUAGAGUGCGGGAGAGGAAGGUAGAAUUCCCGGUGUAGCGGUGAAAUGCGUAGAGAUCGGGAGGAAUACCAGUGGCGAAGGCGGCCUUCUGGACUGACACUGACACUGAGGUGCGAAAGCGUGGGUAGCAAACAGGAUUAGAUACCCCAGUAGUC